Gossypium hirsutum (cotton) is the source of this 84-nucleotide non-coding RNA. Lineage: Eukaryota; Viridiplantae; Streptophyta; Magnoliopsida; Malvales; Malvaceae. The record is from Rfam.
GUCAGGAUGGCCGAGUGGUCUGAGGCGCCAGACUCAAGUUCUGGUCUUCGUGAGAGGGCGUGGGUUCAAAUCCCACUUCUGACA